CUACGUGCCAGCAGCCGCGGUAAUACGGAAGGUCCGGGCGUUAUCCGGAUUUAUUGGGUUUAAAGGGAGUGUAGGCUGGAGAUUAAGUGUGUUGUGAAAUGUAGACGCUCAACGUCUGACUUGCAGCGCAUACUGGUUUCCUUGAGUACGCACAACGUUGGCGGAAUUCGUCGUGUAGCGGUGAAAUGCUUAGAUAUGACGAAGAACUCCGAUUGCGAAGGCAGCUGACGGGAGCGCAACUGACGCUGAAGCUCGAAGGUGCGGGUAUCGAACAGGAUUAGAUACCCUGGUAGUCCGCACAGUAAACGAUGGAUGCCCGCUGUUGGUACCUGGUAUCAGCGGCUAAGCGAAAGCAUUAAGCAUCCCACCUGGGGAGUACGCCGGCAACGGUGAAACUCAAAGGAAUUGACGGGGGCCCGCACAAGCGGAGGAACAUGUGGUUUAAUUCGAUGAUACGCGAGGAACCUUACCCGGGCUUGAA
This 481-nucleotide ribosomal RNA is filed under the name uncultured bacterium. RNAcentral's name for it is "bacterial SSU rRNA". It matches the Rfam family "Bacterial small subunit ribosomal RNA", at positions 501 to 985 of the family's 1533-position model. The record is from RNAcentral.